UAACGGGGCUAAACCAUGCACCGAAGCUGCGGCAGCGAACGUAUCACCCAAGACAACUUUACGGAGUUGACGAUUGACGGAGCGAAGCGACGUCAAAGCGUUCAUUAAAGUCGAGUUGGCUUAGGGAUACGUUCGUUGGGUAGGGGAGCGUUCUGUAAGCCUGUGAAGGUGUGUCGUGAGGCAUGCUGGAGGUAUCAGAAGUGCGAAUGCUGACAUAAGUAACGAUAAAGCGGGUGAAAAGCCCGCUCGCCGGAAGACCAAGGGUUCCUGUCCAACGUUAAUCGGGGCAGGGUGAGUCGACCCCUAAGGCGAGGCCGAAAGGCGUAGUCGAUGGGAAACGGGUUAAUAUUCCCGUACUUGGUGUUACUGCGAAGGGGGGACGGAGAAGGCUAUGUUGGCCGGGCGACGGUUGUCCCGGUUUAAGCGUGUAGGUGUGUGUUCCAGGUAAAUCCGGUUCACUUUAACACUGAGGCGUGACGACGAGGCACUACGGUGCUGAAGCAACAAAUGCCCUGCUUCCAGGAAAAGCCUCUAAGCAUCAGGUAACAUCAAAUCGUACCCCAAACCGACACAGGUGGUCAGGUAGAGAAUACCAAGGCGCUUGAGAGAACUCGGGUGAAGGAACUAGGCAAAAUGGUGCCGUAACUUCGGGAGAAGGCACGCUGACACGUAGGUGAAGUGAUUUACUCA
This 690-nucleotide ribosomal RNA is filed under the name Salmonella enterica. RNAcentral's name for it is "partial 23S ribosomal RNA". It matches the Rfam family "Bacterial large subunit ribosomal RNA", at positions 1173 to 1772 of the family's 2925-position model. Lineage: Bacteria; Pseudomonadati; Pseudomonadota; Gammaproteobacteria; Enterobacterales; Enterobacteriaceae. The record is from RNAcentral.